GAGAUGUGUGAUGACGCAUAUCAAUAAGCGGAGGAAAAGAAACUAACAAGGAUUCCCUUAGUAACGGCGAGUGAAGCGGGAAGAGCUCAAAUUUGAAAUCUUCAAGGUUCUACCUUGACGAAUUGUAGUUUAUAGAAGUGUUUUCUGUUAGUAGAGUGGCAAAAGUUCUUUGGAAUAGGACAUCAUAGAGGGUGAGAAUCCCGUAUUUGGUCAUUCCUCCUAGCUUUGUGAUACACUUUCAACGAGUCGGAUUGUUUGGGAAUGCAGUCCAAAAUGGGUGGUAAAUUUCAUCUAAAGCUAAAUACUUGGCGAGAGACCGAUAGCGAACAAGUACCGUGAGGGAAAGAUGAAAAGAACUUUGAAAAGAGAGUUAAACAGUACGUGAAAUUGUCAAAAGGGAAGCGUUUGACACCAGUGUUGUUUUUCCGAAAAUCAAUUACGAAUGUUUUGUUUUUAAGAAGUUAUGACUUCAUCGGCUUGCUUCUUUCUUUACGAAACUUUCUUAAUGCACUUUUCGGUUAACAAGUCAACAUCAAUUUCUUUUGUUGUAAAAGGGUAUGAGGAAGGUGGCUUUCUUUUCGGAGAAAGUGUUUAUAGCCUUGUGCCUCUGCAAUCGGAGAGAUUGAGGUCUGCAGCGUAGAUCCUUCGGGGUUAGAUACAUUUGUGCUAAGUUAUAGCUUUUCAUAGACAACUUGUUGACUAUGUUUAGUCUUGUAGCUUACUCGCUUAUGCUAUUUUACCUACGCUUAGGAUGUUGAGUCGUAGAGCACGCAG
This 774-nucleotide ribosomal RNA is filed under the name uncultured Neocallimastigales. Its description in RNAcentral is "partial large subunit ribosomal RNA". It matches the Rfam family "Eukaryotic large subunit ribosomal RNA", at positions 23 to 630 of the family's 3401-position model. The record is from RNAcentral. Lineage: Eukaryota; Fungi; Neocallimastigomycota; Neocallimastigomycetes; Neocallimastigales.